Molecule: ribosomal RNA, 253 nt
Filed under: uncultured bacterium
Lineage: Bacteria
Description: partial 16S ribosomal RNA
Rfam family: Bacterial small subunit ribosomal RNA
Source: RNAcentral
UACGUAGGGUGCGAGCGUUAAUCGGAAUUACUGGGCGUAAAGCGUGCGCAGGCGGUGAGCUGUGUCCGAUGUGAAAGCCCCGGGCUUAACCUGGGAAUGGCAUUGGAAACUGAGAGGCUUGAGUACAGAAGAGGAAAGCGGAAUUCCACGUGUAGCGGUGAAAUGCGUAGAGAUGUGGAGGAGCACCAGUGGCGAAGGCGGGUCGUCUGGGCAGUAACUGACGCUGAGGAGCGAAAGCGUGGGAGCGAACAGG